This 425-nucleotide ribosomal RNA is filed under the name uncultured bacterium. Its description in RNAcentral is "partial 16S ribosomal RNA". It matches the Rfam family "Bacterial small subunit ribosomal RNA", at positions 354 to 796 of the family's 1533-position model. The record is from RNAcentral.
GUGGGGAAUCUUGCGCAAUGGGCGAAAGCCUGACGCAGCCAUGCCGCGUGAAUGAUGAAGGUCUUAGGAUUGUAAAAUUCUUUCACCGGGGACGAUAAUGACGGUACCCGGAGAAGAAGCUCCGGCUAACUUCGUGCCAGCAGCCGCGGUAAUACGAAGGGGGCUAGCGUUGCUCGGAAUUACUGGGCGUAAAGGGCGCGUAGGCGGACAGCUUAGUCAGAGGUGAAAGCCCAGGGCUCAACCUUGGAAUUGCCUUUGAUACUGGCUGUCUUGAGUUUGGGAGAGGUGAGUGGAACUCCGAGUGUAGAGGUGAAAUUCGUAGAUAUUCGGAAGAACACCAGUGGCGAAGGCGACUCACUGGCCCAAUACUGACGCUGAGGCGCGAAAGUGUGGGGAGCAAACAGGAUUAGAAACCCGGGUAGUCC